AGAGUUUGAUCCUGGCUCAGAGCGAACGUUAGCGGCACGCUUAACACAUGCAAGUCGCACGAGAAGGGGGCAACCCCUGAAAGUGGCGCACGGGUGCGUAACACGUAGAUAACCUGCCUCUUGGAGGGGGACAACGUUCCGAAAGGAGCGCUAAUACCGCAUAAUGCUGAGACUGGUUUGCCAGUUUUGGACAAAGCUAGGGACCGGCAACGGCCUAGCGCCAAGAGAGGGGUCUGCGGCCCAUCAGCUAGUUGGUAAGGUAAUGGCUUACCAAGGCAGAGACGGGUAGCUGGUCUGAGAGGAUGAUCAGCCACACUGGUACUGGAACACGGACCAGACUCCUACGGGAGGCAGCAGUGGGGAAUCUUGGUCAAUGGGCGCAAGCCUGAACCAGCGAUGCCGCGUGAGUGAUGAAGGCCUUCGGGUUGUAAAGCUCUGUGGGGAGGGACGAAAGAAUCGGUUCUAACAGGACCGAAGUUGACGGUACCUCCUUAGCAAGCACCGGCUAACUCUGUGCCAGCAGCCGCGGUAAGACAGAGGGUGCAAACGUUGCUCGGAAUCACUGGGCGUAAAGGGCGUGUAGGCGGGUAGGCAAGUCGGGCGUGAAAUCCCUGAGCUCAACUCAGGAACUGCACUCGAAACUGCUUAUCUUGAGUGCCGGAGAGGAAAGCGGAAUUCCUGGUGUAGAGGUGAAAUUCGUAGAUAUCAGGAGGAACACCAGUGGCGAAGGCGGCUUUCUGGACGGUAACUGACGCUGAGACGCGAAAGCGUGGGGAGCAAACAGGAUUAGAUACCCUAGUAGUCC
This 805-nucleotide ribosomal RNA is filed under the name uncultured bacterium. Its description in RNAcentral is "bacterial SSU rRNA". It matches the Rfam family "Bacterial small subunit ribosomal RNA", at positions 8 to 796 of the family's 1533-position model. The record is from RNAcentral.